Molecule: microRNA, 20 nt
Filed under: Arabidopsis thaliana (thale cress)
Lineage: Eukaryota; Viridiplantae; Streptophyta; Magnoliopsida; Brassicales; Brassicaceae
Also listed under: 7 other names
Description: ath-miR156j
Gene: ath-miR156j
Source: miRBase by way of RNAcentral
UGACAGAAGAGAGAGAGCAC